CACCAGCACAUAAAUACGGAAAAAGCUGCGUGUGAGUGUGUGUUGAAGUGAACCCAAAAACCCAACCGAGACUUUGGGUUGAAAGAAAGAGCGAAUCUCUUUCUCUCUCUCUCUGAAGAAUAGAAUCGAAGGAGUGAAAGAAAAGAAAAGAGUAGCAGUUGAAGUUAAGAAUGGAGGACAGUGUUGGCAACAACGGCGUGACUGCCAACAAUGUCGCCCAAGCUAUACACACCGCGCUUGAUUGGGCCUCUACUCCCGAUGCUCGCCUAAACGCCGUCGCUUUUCUCGAUUCCAUCAAGAGAGGUGAUGUACGGGCAUUAGCAAACACAUCAUUCCUUUUGGUGAAAAAGAACUGGUCGUCUGAAAUUCGGUUACAUGCCUAUAAAAUGCUGCAGCAUUUAGUGCGCUUACGUUGGGAGGAAUUGAGCCCUGCAGAACACAAGAACUUUGCAAAUCUUUCCCUUGAGUUGAUGUCAGAGAUUGCGGAUCCUUGUGAAAAUUGGGCUCUCAAAAGCCAGACAGCUGCCCUUGUUGCUGAGGUUGUUAGAAGAGAGGAUAUUAGUUUGUGGCAAGAAAUGCUUCCAUCUUUGAUCUCUCUAUCCAACAAGGGUCCAAUAGAAGCUGAGUUGGUUGCAAUGAUGCUGCGGUGGCUUCCUGAAGACAUUACUGUUCACAAUGAAGAUUUAGAAGGUGAUCGGCGAAGGCUACUUUUGCGUGGGCUAACUCAAUCGUUGAGUGAAAUUUUUCCACUAUUAUACAAUUUACUAGAAAGACACUUUACAGCUGCAAUGAAUGAAGCUGGUAGAAAUCAGAUGGAUAUUGCCAAACAGCAUGCUGCCACUGUAACAGCUACUCUAAAUGCAGUGAAUGCGUAUGCUGAAUGGGCUCCAUUGUCAGAUUUAGCUGAGCACGGCAUUAUUCACGGUUGUGGUGUGCUACUAUCUGCUCCAGAUUUUCGUCUUCAUGCUUCGGAGUUCUUCAAACUUGUCUCUCCAAGGAGGAGGCCUAUUGAAACAUCUAUCCCUAAAUUUGACCAAGCCAUGAAUAACAUCUUUCACACGUUGAUGAAUGUAUCUAGAGAAUUUUUGUAUAGAUCCGGUUCAAGUCCUGGGUCUAUAGAUGAGGGUGAAUACGAAUUUGCUGAAUAUAUAUGUGAAAGUAUGGUGUCACUGGGCUCUUUUAACUUGCAAAGUAUUGCUGGUGAUAGCAGCUUACUUCCACUUUACCUAGAACAGAUGCUGGGAUUUUUCCAACAUUUCAAGUUUGCUAUUCAUUUUCAAUCCCUGCAAUUUUGGCUGGUACUAAUGAGGGAUUUGAUGUCAAAGCCAAAAAAUUCCACACAUUCAGCUGCUGACAGUUCAGCUGUUAGUAGCACAGGUUCUGGAGAAGUUGAAAAUGCAAAGAAGAAGACUCUAAGCUUUGUGAGUGAUGAUUUUUGUGGUGCAAUUUUGGAUACAUCUUUCCCUCGCAUGCUCAAGAGAGAGAAAAUUCUGCAUGAGACUGCCAUUACUUUAGGGGUAUUGGAGUUGUGGAGCGAAGAUUUUGAGUGCAAGGGAACAUUCAGCCUUUAUCGAUCUAGAUUGUUGGAGUUAAUUAGGUUUGUUUCUUCUUACAAACCCCUUAUAGCUGCUACUAAAGUAUCUGAAAAGAUUGAUACAGUCAUUAAAGGUCUCUUGCUCUCUCCAGCACCGACUCAGGACUUACCUGUGAUGGAAAGUAUGCAGUUGGCUAUAGAGGGUGUUGUAAAUGCAGUUUUUGAUGGAUCCAAUGACUUCACCAAGACAAAUGCUGAAGUCCAGUUUGCAUUAUGUAGAACGUUUGAAGGUAUACUUCAACGCUUAAUUUCCUUAAAGUGGACGGAGCCUGCACUUGUUGAAGUACUUGUUCACUAUUUGGAUGCUAUGGGCCCCUUUCUGAAAUAUUUCCCUGAUGCAGUUGGCAGUGUUAUUAGUAAAUUAUUUGAACUUCUAACAUCUCUGCCAACCAUAAUCAAGGAUACAUCAGUGCAUAGUGCACGCCAUGCAAGGCUGCAGAUCUGUACAUCAUUUAUUCGGAUAGCAAAAGCUGCCGACAAAAGCAUUUUACCUCAUAUGAAGGGCAUUGCUGAUACAAUGGCAUGUUUGCAAAGGGACGGUUGUUUGCUACAGAGUGAGCAUAAUCUUUUAGGUGAAGCUUUUCUUGUUAUGGCUUCUUCUUCUGGAAUUGAACAGCAACAAGAAGUUUUAAAAUGGCUUUUAGAACCUUUGAGCCAUCAGUGGACACAAUCUGAGUGGCAGGAAAAAUAUCUGUCAGGUCCACAAGGUUUGGUUCAGUUGUGCUCUGAAGCACCUGUAAUGUGGUCAAUUUUUCAUACCUUGACAUUCUUUGAAAGGGCACUUAAGAGGAGUGGAUUGAAGAAAGGCAAUUGGAAUUCAGAAAACAGCGCAACACCAAAUUCAACUCCAAUAAAUCCAAUGGCCUCUCACAUAGCAUGGAUGGUGACUCCUCUCUUGAAACUACUUCGUUGUAUACAUUCCCUUUGGUCUCCAUCCAUAAGUCAAGCUUUACCUGGAGAGGUAAGAGCUGCUAUGGUCAUGAUUGAUUUUGAGAGGUCAGGUCUUCUUGGAGAAGGGAACUCCAAAUUGCCAAAGGGUUCUUUGACUGUCACAGAUGGAUCUAAGGUCGACAUUAAUAAAGAAGGAUAUGCGGAACCAAAUGGAUCAGAUAUACGGAACUGGUUUAAAGGCAUUAGAGACAGUGGAUAUAACGUAUUGGGCUUGUCAACAACCAUUGGCGAUUCAUUUUUCAAAUAUUUGGAUGUGCACUCUGUUUCUGUUGCGCUGAUGGAGAAUAUACCGUCAAUGGAGUUCAGGCAUAUUCGACAGCUUGUUCAUUCCACUUUGAUUCCUUUGGUUAAAAGCUGUCCUUUGGAUAUGUGGGAGAUUUGGCUGGAGAAAAUUCUACAUCCAUUGUUUAUCCAUGCUCAGCAAGCCCUUAGCUGUUCAUGGUCUAGUCUUCUACAAGAUGGUAGAGCAAAGGUUCCAGAUGUUCUUAGCGUUCUUAGUGGAUCAGACUUGAAAGUGGAAGUGAUGGAGGAAACGAUUUUGAGGGAUCUCACGCGUGAGAUUUGUUCACUCCUCUCUGUCAUUGCUUCUCCUCCCCUUAAUAAUGGAAUUCCUUCUUUGGAACAGUCUGGGCAUGUUAGUCGAUUAGACGCUCUGAAAAGCUUGGACUCAGUUGCAUCUUGUUCUAUGGUUGGUUUCCUUCUAAAGCAUGAAGGUCUGGCCAUUCCAACAUUACGGCUAUGUUUAGAAGCUUUUACAUGGACGGAUGGUGAAUCUGUGACUAAAAUUUCUUCGUAUUGCUCUGUGUUGGUAGUUCUUGCGAUAGUAACAAAUCAUGCAGAACUCGUAGAAUAUGUUUCUAGAGAUCUUUUUACAUCCCUUAUUCAAGGUUUAACCCUUGAAUCAAAUGCAAUAACCAGUGCUGAUCUAGUUGCCAUUUGUCGUGAAAUAUUUGUAUAUCUUUGUGAUCGACACCCAGCACCCAGGCAGGUUUUGUUGUCUCUCCCCAAUAUUACCCCUCACGAUUUAGUUGCCUUUGAGGAAUCUUUAAAGAAAACAUCCAGUCCAAAGGAACAAAAGCAACAUAUGAGAAGCUUACUUCAAUUAGCAACCGGUAACAAAUUGAAAGCACUUGCUGCACAGAAAAGUGUAAAUAUCAUUACAAACGUUUCAAUGAGACAGCGCAGCUCAGUCAAUGCUCCCGAGUCCAAAGUUGAUGAUGGUGAUGUUGUGGGGUUGGCAGCCAUCAUGUGAUAUUGUUUUGAGCUCAUGGAAGGUUUUGUGUACAGGAAUGAGCUCAUUGAGAAGAUUUUGGUUUUCAUUAUUUACUAACAAAGGGUGCGAAAGCAUUUCCUCCCCUGCCCUGCCUAAUUAACAAGGUAAUCGGGUGAGUACAGAGAUUUUAUGUCCUUCAUUUGAAUAGGUUUACUGUAUCCACGCUGUCCUUCAUUUGUAGUAUAUAUAGCAUAGCAUAACCACACCUGGCAGUUCAGACUUGUGUAUUUAAUUGUUGCCAGAAUCCAAAGCUGCCAUUAAUUAUUUUCUUAUUCCUCACUUUGUAGCAUAAAUUUGAAGAAUUAGAAACACACUUCUACUCUUUACAUGUAAAUGUGUUCUAUUGUGGGGUUAAUAUCCACUACAUGGAUUGUUGAGGAGAGUCUAGUUUGAUUUGAACUCACAUAUUCUCAAAAGACAAAAAUCGUUGCUUAAAAUGGGACCAGGCGGCCCAGGCCCAAGCGGCCCGCCAGGUUGGGGUUCACCCGGCCCACCGGGGCCGGGAUUUUUCGGUGGGUUUUGCGAUCUCGUUAACUCUUGUUUGAGCUUUUUGUGCUGCUGCUGGUUACUACAGGACUGCUUUGGGGGUCCAUCUGGCCCACCUGGAGGCCCAUUCCGCCCACCUGGGCCUCCAUGAGUUUCCAAGUUGCCAUGGUUUCCAAUGUUAUAUAUAUGAAGUUCUAUAUGUUAGGUAAUUAAUUAUCAAUCAGAACUCUGCUAAUCUCUGUUUGAUGUAAUAAUACAUUCCUGGCACGGUCGAAGGUUGAAGAAUAAUUUAUUGUAAUUUAUUUUAUUUUAUUUUUA
Vigna angularis (adzuki bean) is the source of this 4622-nucleotide RNA transcript. It is a transcript of the gene named protein HASTY 1, with no coding region annotated. The transcript is spliced from 24 exons. The record is from RefSeq and is a predicted model, not a curated record. Lineage: Eukaryota; Viridiplantae; Streptophyta; Magnoliopsida; Fabales; Fabaceae.